Molecule: long non-coding RNA, 315 nt
Filed under: Vicia faba (fava bean)
Lineage: Eukaryota; Viridiplantae; Streptophyta; Magnoliopsida; Fabales; Fabaceae
Source: RNAcentral
AAAAGAAAAAGAAAAUUGAAAGGGAAUGAGAACGUGAGAUUAGGGUCAGAGGAGUUGUCCUCUUCAUCUUCUCAAACAGAAUCGUCUUCUUCCUCUCAAUAUUCAGCGUCGCCGUGGAAUCUUACGGCCACCACGCUCGCGACCGUUUUUUUUCUUCAAUCAAUUCAACCUUUCCACCGUAUAAAGCAGUGGCGCCUCCGUCUCUGCUCAUCUUUCUCAGCUCCGCUCUGUCUCUAUCGAUCUCGUUCCGAUAAACCAACACAGCACCGCCGUUUGUUUUUCUUCUAUUCGAUUUUGCAACAGACAGUCCUCUGA